CCUACGGGAGGCAGCAGUGAGGAAUAUUGGUCAAUGGACGCAAGUCUGAACCAGCCAUGCCGCGUGCAGGAUGACGGCUCUAUGAGUUGUAAACUGCUUUUGUACGAGGGUAAACCCCGAUACGUGUAUCGGGUUGAAAGUAUCGUACGAAUAAGGAUCGGCUAACUCCGUGCCAGCAGCCGCGGUAAUACGGAGGAUCCGAGCGUUAUCCGGAUUUAUUGGGUUUAAAGGGUGCGUAGGCGGUUUGAUAAGUUAGAGGUGAAAUGUCGGGGCUCAACCCCGAAACUGCCUCUAAUACUGUUAGACUAGAGAAUAGUUGCGGGAGGCGGAAUGUAUGGUGUAGCGGUGAAAUGCUUAGAGAUCAUACAGAACACCGAUUGCGAAGGCAGCUUACCAAACUAUAUCUGACGUUGAGGCACGAAAGCGUGGGUAGCAAACAGGAUUAGAUACCCUGGUAGUC
This 460-nucleotide ribosomal RNA is filed under the name uncultured bacterium. RNAcentral's name for it is "partial 16S ribosomal RNA". It matches the Rfam family "Bacterial small subunit ribosomal RNA", at positions 338 to 795 of the family's 1533-position model. The record is from RNAcentral.